RNAcentral lists this ribosomal RNA (481 nucleotides) under uncultured bacterium. Its description in RNAcentral is "bacterial SSU rRNA". It matches the Rfam family "Bacterial small subunit ribosomal RNA", at positions 501 to 985 of the family's 1533-position model. The record is from RNAcentral.
CUACGUGCCAGCAGCCGCGGUAAUACGGAAGGUCCAGGCGUUAUCCGGAUUUAUUGGGUUUAAAGGGAGCGUAGGCUGGAGAUUAAGUGUGUUGUGAAAUGUAGACGCUCAACGUCUGAAUUGCAGCGCAUACUGGUUUCCUUGAGUACGCACAACGUUGGCGGAAUUCGUCGUGUAGCGGUGAAAUGCUUAGAUAUGACGAAGAACUCCGAUUGCGAAGGCAGCUGACGGGAGCGCAACUGACGCUUAAGCUCGAAGGUGCGGGUAUCGAACAGGAUUAGAUACCCUGGUAGUCCGCACAGUAAACGAUGGAUGCCCGCUGUUAGCGCCUGGCGUUAGCGGCUAAGCGAAAGCAUUAAGCAUCCCACCUGGGGAGUACGCCGGCAACGGUGAAACUCAAAGGAAUUGACGGGGGCCCGCACAAGCGGAGGAACAUGUGGUUUAAUUCGAUGAUACGCGAGGAACCUUACCCGGGCUUGAA